GAGGGUAUAGCUCAAGUGGUAGAGCACAUGUCUUCCAUGCCUGAGGCCCUGGGUUCAAUCCCCAGUACCGCCA
RNAcentral lists this transfer RNA (73 nucleotides) under Camelus ferus (Wild Bactrian camel). It matches the Rfam family "tRNA". From Rfam's summary of the family: Transfer RNA (tRNA) molecules are approximately 80 nucleotides in length. Their secondary structure includes four short double-helical elements and three loops (D, anti-codon, and T loops). Further hydrogen bonds mediate the characteristic L-shaped molecular structure. tRNAs have two regions of fundamental functional importance: the anti-codon, which is responsible for specific mRNA codon recognition, and the 3' end, to which the tRNAs corresponding amino acid is attached (by aminoacyl-tRNA synthetases). tRNAs cope with the degeneracy of the genetic code in two manners: having more than one tRNA (with a specific anti-codon) for a particular amino acid; and 'wobble' base-pairing, i.e. permitting non-standard base-pairing at the 3rd anti-codon position. Lineage: Eukaryota; Metazoa; Chordata; Mammalia; Artiodactyla; Camelidae. The record is from Rfam by way of RNAcentral.